RNAcentral lists this RNase P RNA (283 nucleotides) under Nitrososphaerales archaeon. RNAcentral describes it as "RNase P RNA component". It matches the Rfam family "Archaeal RNase P". Rfam says of the family: Ribonuclease P (RNase P) is a ubiquitous endoribonuclease, found in archaea, bacteria and eukarya as well as chloroplasts and mitochondria. Its best characterised activity is the generation of mature 5'-ends of tRNAs by cleaving the 5'-leader elements of precursor-tRNAs. The record is from RNAcentral. Lineage: Archaea; Thermoproteati; Nitrososphaerota; Nitrososphaeria; Nitrososphaerales.
GCGAGUCGGCGGGUGGGCCACGGGGCUAUGCCCUGAGGAAGCUCCUCUCUCCGUGCAGAAGCGCGGUGUCGUGAGGCACAACCAGAGAUGGUUGGCAACAAAACAGAAACGAUAUCCCAACCAGGGUGUACGAUGAUAAGAUUCUUGAGAUUCCUGGGUAAGAGUGAAACGGUUGUCCCGCGUGGAGCAAGACCAAAAAGGGUCCAUGAGUUCUGCAUGAGACCUGGGUAGGUCGCUAAGCCGAAUCCCACCUAGAACAAAAAGAGGGCUACAGCCGACACGC